UUGAAGAUCGGAGUGCUUGCACUCUGUGAAACAAGAUACAGGCUAGCGGCGGACGGGUGAGUAACACGUGGGUAACCUGCCCAAGAGAUCGGGAUAACACCUGGAAACAGAUGCUAAUACCGGAUAACAACAGAUGAUGCCUAUCAACUGUUUAAAAGAUGGUUCUGCUAUCACUCUUGGAUGGACCUGCGGUGCAUUAGCUAGUUGGUAGGGUAACGGCCUACCAAGGCGAUGAUGCAUAGCCGAGUUGAGAGACUGAUCGGCCACAUUGGGACUGAGACACGGCCCAAACUCCUACGGGAGGCAGCAGUAGGGAAUCUUCCACAAUGGACGCAAGUCUGAUGGAGCAACGCCGCGUGAGUGAAGAAGGGCUUCGGCUCAUAAAGCUCUGUUGUUGGUGAAGAAGGACAGGGGUAGUAACUGACCUUUGUUUGACGGUAAUCAAUUAGAAAGUCACGGCUAACUACGUGCCAGCAGCCGCGGUAAUACGUAGGUGGCAAGCGUUGUCCGGAUUUAUUGGGCGUAAAGCGAGUGCAGGCGGCUCGAUAAGUCUGAUGUGAAAGCCUUCGGCUCAACCGGAGAAUUGCAUCAGAAACUGUCGAGCUUGAGUACAGAAGAGGAGAGUGGAACUCCAUGUGUAGCGGUGAAAUGCGUAGAUAUAUGGAAGAACACCGGUGGCGAAGGCGGCUCUCUGGUCUGUUACUGACGCUGAGGCUCGAAAGCAUGGGUAG
This 731-nucleotide ribosomal RNA is filed under the name uncultured bacterium. RNAcentral's name for it is "bacterial SSU rRNA". It matches the Rfam family "Bacterial small subunit ribosomal RNA", at positions 64 to 768 of the family's 1533-position model. The record is from RNAcentral.